This 1086-nucleotide ribosomal RNA is filed under the name Priestia endophytica. RNAcentral's name for it is "bacterial SSU rRNA". It matches the Rfam family "Bacterial small subunit ribosomal RNA", at positions 36 to 1066 of the family's 1533-position model. The record is from RNAcentral. Lineage: Bacteria; Bacillati; Bacillota; Bacilli; Caryophanales; Bacillaceae.
UUGAAUGUGACGUCCUCCAUGCAGUGCAGUCGAGCGGCAGAUUUGAAAAGCUUGCUUUUCAAAUCUUAGCGGCGGACGGGUGAGUAACACGUGGGCAACCUGCCCUUGAGACGGGGAUAACUCCGGGAAACCGGAGCUAAUACCGGAUAACACAUAUCUUCGCAUGAGGAUAUGUUAGAAGGUGGCUUUUAGCUACCACUCAAGGGUGGGCCCGCGGCGCAUUAGCUAGUUGGUGAGGUAACGGCUCACCAAGGCGACGAUGCGUAGCCGACCUGAGAGGGUGAUCGGCCACACUGGGACUGAGACACGGCCCAGACUCCUACGGGAGGCAGCAGUAGGGAAUCUUCCGCAAUGGACGAAAGUCUGACGGAGCAACGCCGCGUGAGUGAUGAAGGUUUUCGGAUCGUAAAGCUCUGUUGUUAGGGAAGAACAAGUACCUGUUAAAUAAGCAGGUACCUUGACGGUACCUAACCAGAAAGCCACGGCUAACUACGUGCCAGCAGCCGCGGUAAUACGUAGGUGGCAAGCGUUGUCCGGAAUUAUUGGGCGUAAAGCGCGCGCAGGCGGUUCCUUAAGUCUGAUGUGAAAGCCCACGGCUCAACCGUGGAGGGUCAUUGGAAACUGGGGAACUUGAGUGCAGAAGAGGAGAGCGGAAUUCCACGUGUAGCGGUGAAAUGCGUAGAGAUGUGGAGGAACACCAGUGGCGAAGGCGGCUCUCUGGUCUGUAACUGACGCUGAGGCGCGAAAGCGUGGGCGAGCGAACAGGAUUAGAUACCCUGGUAGUCUCACGCGCGUAAACGAUGAGUGCUAAGUGUUAGAGGGUUUCUCGCCCUUUAGUGCUGCAGCAAACGCAUUAAUGCACUCUCCCCUGGGGGAGUACGGUGCGCUAGCACUGUAAACUCUAAAGGGAAUUCGACGGGGGACCCGCACUAAGCGGGUGGAGCAUGUGGGUUUAAAUUUCGAAGCAACGCGGAAGGACCCUUAGCCAGGGUCUUGAACAUCCCUCUGGCUACUUUCUAGAAGAAUAGAAAGGUUCCCUUUCGGGGGAACAGGAGUUUAUUAGAAGGGGUGCAUUGGGUUUUUCCC